This 497-nucleotide ribosomal RNA is filed under the name uncultured bacterium. RNAcentral's name for it is "partial 16S ribosomal RNA". It matches the Rfam family "Bacterial small subunit ribosomal RNA", at positions 28 to 507 of the family's 1533-position model. The record is from RNAcentral.
GAUGAACGCUGGCGGCGUGCCUAAUACAUGCAAGUCGAACGCAUAGCGAAAGGUGCUUGCACCUUUCAAGUGAGUGGCGAACGGGUGAGUAACACGUGGACAACCUGCCUCAAGGCUGGGGAUAACAUUUGGAAACAGAUGCUAAUACCGAAUAAAACUUAGUGUCGCAUGACACAAAGUUAAAAGGCGCUUCGGCGUCACCUAGAGAUGGAUCCGCGGUGCAUUAGUUAGUUGGUGGGGUAAAGGCCUACCAAGACAAUGAUGCAUAGCCGAGUUGAGAGACUGAUCGGCCACAUUGGGACUGAGACACGGCCCAAACUCCUACGGGAGGCUGCAGUAGGGAAUCUUCCACAAUGGGCGAAAGCCUGAUGGAGCAACGCCGCGUGUGUGAUGAAGGCUUGCGGGUCGUAAAGCACUGUUGUAUGGGAAGAACAGCUAGAAUAGGAAAUGAUUUUAGUUUGACGGUACCAUACCAGAAAGGGACGGCUAAAUACGUG